This 492-nucleotide ribosomal RNA is filed under the name uncultured bacterium. RNAcentral's name for it is "partial 16S ribosomal RNA". It matches the Rfam family "Bacterial small subunit ribosomal RNA", at positions 29 to 507 of the family's 1533-position model. The record is from RNAcentral.
AGUGAACGCUGGCGGUAGGCCUAACACAUGCAAGUCGAACGGCAGCACAGUAAGAGCUUGCUCUUACGGGUGGCGAGUGGCGGACGGGUGAGGAAUACAUCGGAAUCUACUUUGUCGGGGGGGAUAACGUGGGGAAACUUACGCUAAUACCGCAUACGACCUACGGGUGAAAGCAGGGGAUCUUCGGAGCUUUGGUGAUUGAAUGAGCCGAUGUCGGAUUAGCUAGUUGGGGGGGUAAAGGACCACCAAGGCGACGAUCCGUAGCUGGUCUGAGAGGAUGAUCAGCCACACUGGAACUGAGACACGGUCCAGACUCCUACGGGAGGCAGCAGUGGGGAAUAUUGGACAAUGGGCGCAAGCCUGAUCCAGCCAUACCGCGUGAGUGAAGAAGGCCUUCGGGUUGUAAAGCCCUUUUGUUGGGAAAGAAAAGCAGCAGGUUAAUACCCCGCUGUUCUGACGGUACCCAAAGAAUAAGCACCGGCUAACUUCGUG